This 433-nucleotide ribosomal RNA is filed under the name uncultured bacterium. RNAcentral describes it as "bacterial SSU rRNA". It matches the Rfam family "Bacterial small subunit ribosomal RNA", at positions 29 to 507 of the family's 1533-position model. The record is from RNAcentral.
AACGAACGCUGGCGGCAGGCUUAACACAUGCAAGGUCGAACGCACCUUCGGGUGAGUGGCAGACGGGUGAGUAAUGCGUGGGAACCUUCCCUGUGGUACGGAAUAGCUCCGGGAAACUGGAAUUAAUGCCGUAUACGCCCUUCGGGGGAAAGAUUUAUCGCCAUAGGAUGGGCCCGCGUCGGAUUAGCUUGUUGGUAGGGGUAAUGGCCUACCAAGGCAACGAUCCGUAGCUGGUCUUAGAGGAUGAUCAGCCACACUGGGACUGAGACACGGCCCAGACUCCUACGGGAGGCAGCAGUGGGGAAUAUUGGACAAUGGGCGAAAGCCUGAUCCAGCCAUGCCGCGUGAGUGACGAAGGCCUUAGGGUUGUAAAACUCUUUUGGCGGGGACGAUAAUGACGGUACCCGCAGAAUAAGCCCCGGCUAACUUCGUG